GAUGCUGGAACUUGUGCUUGUGUGUUGGUGGCGAACGGAUGGGUGAGUAAUGAGUAAGCUGCCCGUGAUCCUGCUUGAGACACCUACCGGAGCAGGUAACUAAGACCGAAUACUUGCUUCCUUCGCCUGAAGGAAGCUGGAAUUAUUCAGUUUCUGUCACUUGAGGAUGGGCCUGCGGCGCAUUAGCUAGUUGGUGAGGUAACGGCUCACCAAGGCGACCAUCCGUAGCCGACCUGAGAGGGUGAUCGGCCACACUGGGACUGAGACACGGCCCAGACUCCUACAGGAGGCAACAUUAGGGAAUCUUCCGCAAUGGGCGAAAGCAGGAGGGGAGCAAUGCAUCGUGAGUGAUGAAUGUUUUCGGAUCGUAAAGCUCUGUUGCCAGGGAAGAACGUCCUUGAGAGUAACUGCUCAAGGAGUGACGGUACCUGAGAAGAAAGCCCCGGCUAACUACGUGCCAGCAGCCGCGGUAAUACGUAGGGGGCAAGCGUUGUCCGGAAUUAUUGGGCGUA
RNAcentral lists this ribosomal RNA (512 nucleotides) under Paenibacillus illinoisensis. Its description in RNAcentral is "bacterial SSU rRNA". It matches the Rfam family "Bacterial small subunit ribosomal RNA", at positions 64 to 562 of the family's 1533-position model. Lineage: Bacteria; Bacillati; Bacillota; Bacilli; Caryophanales; Paenibacillaceae. The record is from RNAcentral.